Molecule: ribosomal RNA, 292 nt
Filed under: uncultured bacterium
Lineage: Bacteria
Description: partial 16S ribosomal RNA
Rfam family: Bacterial small subunit ribosomal RNA
Source: RNAcentral
GUGUCAGCAGCCGCGGUAAAACGUAGGUACCGAGCGUUAUCCGGAUUCACUGGGCGUAAAGCGCGUGCAGGUGGUAUGGUAAGUCGGGCAUGAAAACUCUUGGCUCAACUAAGAGACGCUGUCCGAUACUGCUAAACUUGAGGGUGUAAGAGGGAGGUGGAAUUCCGCAUGUAGUGGUGAAAUGCGUAGAUAUGCGGAGGAACACCAGUGGCGAAGGCGGCCUCCUGGUACACUCCUGACACUCAGACGCGAAAGCUAGGGGAGCGAACGGGAUUAGAAACCCUUGUAGUCC